CAGCAGUCAAGAAUAUUAGUCAAUGCUCGUAAGAGUGAACUAGCUAACUGAAAUCAUAGAAUUUUUUCAAAUUCAUGAUGUCGUAAGGGAAAAUAAUGAUAAUACCUUACUAUGAGUGUCGUCCAAAUCUGGUGCCAGAAGACUCGGUAAGACCAGAGACGCAAACGUUAAUCAUCAUAAACAGGCGUAAAGGGUUUGUAGGCAGCUUUUAUAGGAUUAUUAUAAAAAGAAAAAGGUAAUCUAAAUUAAAAGCUAGAAUCAAAAAGAGGUUAUAGUGUAUAACGCCUAGAGGAGGGCUAAUAUCCGUAGAUCCUAGGCAGAAUACUCAGGGCGAAGGCCACUCUCCAUUAAUGAUUGACGCUGAGAAACGAAGGUUAGGGUAGGAAAUAGGAUUAGAUACCCCGGUACUCCUUUCUGUAAACGAUGAAUGGUAGUCAUUAGUAAAAAAAUAACUAGAGGCGAAGUUAACACAAUAACCAUUCCGCCUUGUGAGUACUACUGCAAAGUAGAAAACAAAAAAAUUAGUCGGUCUCGAAGCAAACGGAGUGAAGCAUGUUAUUUAAUUCGAU
Molecule: ribosomal RNA, 569 nt
Filed under: Ganoderma carocalcareum
Lineage: Eukaryota; Fungi; Basidiomycota; Agaricomycetes; Polyporales; Polyporaceae
Description: SSU rRNA
Rfam family: Bacterial small subunit ribosomal RNA
Source: RNAcentral